This 437-nucleotide long non-coding RNA is filed under the name Pongo abelii (Sumatran orangutan). RNAcentral's name for it is "lincRNA". The record is from RNAcentral. Lineage: Eukaryota; Metazoa; Chordata; Mammalia; Primates; Hominidae.
GUGGCAAACGGUUGGGGGAACAAUCCAGACGGACCCAAAGCAGUUGCAGCAGAGAGGGAGGCAUCCAAUCCCGUCCACCAGGCCCCAAAGGCCGUCGUCCUGCCUGGAGAACAGAGCAGUGCUAGGAAACUGACUUUUCUCAAAAAUGAACUCUCCCAACCAAUCUGCACCAUGAAAUUAUUUCAGCAAACAAAAAAGUAAUGGUUGCCCAUCACCGCACACUGCCUGUGACUCAGCCAUCACUCACAGGCAAAGAAGGGUGUUCUCUCCUCUCCCUGUCAGUUACUAAUUCUCUGUAAAUGACCAUUUGACAUCCUGGCCGGGGAGGAUUCAGAUCAGAGAUGACUUCACCACUGCCACAAAGUAUGGUUCUGGGAAGGACAACCAGCCCCAAGGCCACGAAGGUUCUGAAAAAGUUUCUUCUCAUUUGAAGUCCA